Molecule: non-coding RNA, 46 nt
Organism: Cariama cristata (Red-legged seriema)
Lineage: Eukaryota; Metazoa; Chordata; Aves; Cariamiformes; Cariamidae
Source: Rfam
CCAAAGGCUUUUCUCAGAGCCACAAAGAAAACUAUCCAAGUUAGGU